UGGGGAAUUUUGGACAAUGGGGGAAACCCUGAUCCAGCCAUCCCGCGUGUGCGAUGAAGGCCUUCGGGUUGUAAAGCACUUUUGGCAGGAAAGAAACGUCAUGGGUUAAUACCCCGUGAAACUGACGGUACCUGCAGAAUAAGCACCGGCUAACUACGUGCCAGCAGCCGCGGUAAUACGUAGGGUGCAAGCGUUAAUCGGAAUUACUGGGCGUAAAGCGUGCGCAGGCGGUUCGGAAAGAAAGAUGUGAAAUCCCAGAGCUCAACUUUGGAACUGCAUUUUUAACUACCGGGCUAGAGUGUGUCAGAGGGAGGUGGAAUUCCGCGUGUGGCAGUGAAAUGCGUAGAUAUGCGGAUGAACACCGAUGGCGAAGGCAGCCUCCUGGGAUAACACUGACGCUCAUGCACGAAAGCGUGGGGAGCAAACAGG
Molecule: ribosomal RNA, 429 nt
Filed under: Acidobacteriota bacterium
Lineage: Bacteria; Pseudomonadati; Acidobacteriota
Description: Acidobacteria bacterium partial 16S ribosomal RNA
Rfam family: Bacterial small subunit ribosomal RNA
Source: RNAcentral